ACUCUCCCAGCUCUGCAUGGUUACACUAGGCCUCACUUGUGUAACUUUCGUAAUGUGGAGAGAAAGAAAAGAUCUCCUUGGGACCUCAGAUUAGCCUCACCGUGGCUUCUCUUUCCUUGAGGGGCGCAACAGAU
This is a small nucleolar RNA of Microcebus murinus (gray mouse lemur), 134 nucleotides long. The record is from Ensembl. NCBI's taxonomy places the organism in Eukaryota, Metazoa, Chordata, Mammalia, Primates, Cheirogaleidae.